GCUCAUCUCUCAGACCUGCUGCAAGCUUUUGGGACUCUCUCUGCCUUUGCUUCCACGUGGAGAAAAGCAUCGCUUCUGUAACUCACGGGAGUGCUGCAGGAAUAAAUUCACUGAAGCUUGUGACCCUGUGUUGGUGAUAAUUGUGGGAGCACACAGGCCCACAGGGAUGAGCUGCCUCUGUCUAGUACUGGAGCACUUGGGAUCAAAGUUUCUCUUACACAGCCUGAUGCCUGAGCCUGUUCAACAAAGCGUGAGGAUGGUUUCUGGCUCAUCUGUUCAUUCAAGCUUUUAAUUAGUUACCAGCUAUCCUCAUGGUGAGGAGUUGACGCCUGAUGUUAUUGAGGUACUUAUUCAAGCGUUCAUGUUUAUGCAAACGCAUUCUUUUUAUAUCGGAUUUUGGGCAGUCAUAAGCCGUGGUAAGGAAUUAAAUGACAUGUAAAGAAGAAAUGUGACCCAUUGAUCAAAGAUGCGCUGGCCCACCAGUGAACAGUCUAUCCGGGCUGUGAAAUGGCUGGUCCCCAGAGAGGCCCAUUCAAAAAAGAACUGAUGCUUGCGUUUUCCAGCAUCUAUAUGCAGAAUCCCAAGUGGUUAUACAACACACACACAUGACGUGAGCUGCAAACACACAUUGCUGCAGUCCUUAUGCUGGUCCUGUUUUUGAGUUAGUGUCAAAGCUUUCCUGGAUGGGUAUGUGCACUGCUUGACUACUUGCAAAGAACUGGGCCAUUAGCCCAUAGACAGGGGAGCGUAUGUCAUGCUACACAGAAAAACAGGUCCUUAGCAAAACCACGGGACACAGAAGCACUCAGCAGCUUCUUACCUGCUCCCCACUGCAGUGAUUCUGCAGCUGCCAUUGCUGCACAUCCAUAUAAGAGGACAGGGCAAGACCAAAUAAACACAAAUAAGCUCAAACCA
RNAcentral lists this long non-coding RNA (915 nucleotides) under Anser brachyrhynchus (Pink-footed goose). RNAcentral's name for it is "lncRNA (ENSABRG00000001507.1)". Lineage: Eukaryota; Metazoa; Chordata; Aves; Anseriformes; Anatidae. The record is from RNAcentral.